This is a non-coding RNA of Oryza sativa Japonica Group (Japanese rice), 579 nucleotides long. The record is from RefSeq and is a predicted model, not a curated record. Lineage: Eukaryota; Viridiplantae; Streptophyta; Magnoliopsida; Poales; Poaceae.
ACGAAUGAAAAUUGCCAAUAUACUUACAAGCAUACUGAAAUAUAAGAGAAAAUUAGAAACACAAGAAAGGAAAGAAAGCUAUAGGUAUAUCGCCCGCGAUAUGGCGAUUUUCAAGAAGGAUGGUACUGCUGUUCUCUUUGUCAUGUCUCUUAUGGUCAUAGCUAUGGUUCUCUCUUCCUGCCAAGCAGCUAUCCAUUUCAACUUGCACUGCGCCGACCUGCCAAAAUGCACUGAACAUGAAUGCAUGGCGGAUUGCCACCGCAGAGGUUUCCAGGUUGGUGUGGGACUAGUGGAUUGCAUGGAUGGACGGCCCGAUCAAUGUUGCUGCAGACAUGGGCUUCUUGAUCAUCGUGAUGACAAGUUAACGACUAAUUAAUUAGGCGAUGGAUUAAUUUCUCACAUGAGCAAUGUAUUAUUGUCAAUGAUUAAUUACAUGUGCAAUUAAUUGCUGCAAUGAGCUGAUCGAUCUCUUCGAUCUUAUUGCUAGCUCUUUUCAUGUAUGUGUCGAUCGAUCCACCUAGCUAUUUGAUGCGGACUCAAUAAACAAAGUUUACAUGGGAAGAAUUUGGCUCUCUAUAA